This 487-nucleotide ribosomal RNA is filed under the name uncultured bacterium. RNAcentral describes it as "partial 16S ribosomal RNA". It matches the Rfam family "Bacterial small subunit ribosomal RNA", at positions 28 to 523 of the family's 1533-position model. The record is from RNAcentral.
GACGAACGCUGGCGGCGUGCUUAACACAUGCAAGUCGAGCGAGGCCCACCUUUCGGGGUGGUGUCCUAGCGGCGAACGGGUGAGUAACACGUGGGCAACCUGCCCCCGGCUCGGGGAUAACCCCAAGAAAUUGGGGCCAAUACCGGAUACGACCGCUGACCGCAUGGUCUGGUGGGGGAAAGAUUUACCGGCUGGGGCUGGGCCCGCGGCCUCUCAGCUUGUUGGUGGGGUAGUGGCCUACCAAGGCGACGACGGGGAGCCGGCCUGCGCGGGGGACCGGCCACACUGGGACUGAGACACGGCCCAGACUCCUACGGGAGGCAGCAGUGGGGAAUAUUGCGCAAUGGGCGAAAGCCUGACGCAGCGACGCCGCGUGGGGGAUGACGGCCUUCGGGUUGUAAACCUCUUUCAGCAGGGACGAAGCCCGCAAGGGUGACGGUACCUGCAGAAGAAGCACCGGCCAACUACGUGCCAGCCGCCGCCGUAA